CAAAAAUAUAAAAAAAAUAAAAAAAAUUGAACCAACCAAUUGAUCAGAAAAAUUACACUGGUUAUAUAGCAGUUUGACAAACACUAAUUUUGAUCAUUGAGAAGCUUAAUAUUCCCUUAACAUCACAACGUAAUUAAAACGUUUAGCUGAUUUUACAGAGUUAUCUCCCUGUAGUGUUAGGUACCACCUUAAGUGGUUCAGACGUGCCUA
Molecule: long non-coding RNA, 210 nt
Filed under: Mytilus galloprovincialis (Mediterranean mussel)
Lineage: Eukaryota; Metazoa; Mollusca; Bivalvia; Mytilida; Mytilidae
Source: RNAcentral